ACUGUGACCUAAUAUACAAGAAUGGGCUCUAUCACAUACUCUAAUUUACACACACCUAGGGCUUCCUUUAAACAUGUACAGAAGGGUGGUAAAGCUUAAUAUUAUCUCCGUCCCCUGCUGUAAAAUGGUAUUGGGGUAGAGAGAGUGAAAUAUCAAACUGGUGAAAAUCUCAAAAAUCCCUGUCUAUUUUGUUGAAGUAUCAACAGUUCUUUCAAUGUCAAGCAUAGGUUUUACUCUUCUCUCAACCUCAUUGCUCAGUAAAUUUAGCUCUUCAACAAUCAUAGAAAAAGCAGCUUUGCAAGAAUCCUCAUCUCGAAAAGCCAGAGUCCACCGCCCAUCGACCAAAGCUUUUGACUUAACUUUAGCAUGGGCAGUAUGCUUCGCAGCAUCUAUGUAAGGGAAGAUUGAUUAUCUACACCCUUCGCCAGAAGUAUAGUUCGAGUCAUAUAACAAAGAACAACUUGAUAGGGAGCAUUUUACUACCUUUAGUGGGCCUAGUCGAUGCUAAUUCAAAUUAGAUGGGCGAGUGGGAUUUAGAUUCCGGAUGCCUAAGCAAAAAAGAAUUCUAACGUUAGUAUAAAAAAUGUUCAAUAGGUUCUAACUUUGCAUUCCACCGGCAUCAAAGUUCAAUGUCACCCACCAUCAACUCAAAAUAAUAAAGAAAUGUAAUCUUAAAUUCUGUUAGUAUAAAAAUAGCCUCCAAACUACAUGAGUUGCUAUAUUUUAGUGAACUUAAAUAUGACUUUAAACUUCAAAUUUAAUAAAAUGAACGUGCACUCACAGGGUUGAAUAGAAUAGUAUUAUACAACUAACUAAAUUAUUGAGAUGAGACAGAAUGACACCGUCACAUAUGAUUUACGAAAGAGAUCUAACUGAUUCACUUUCAUAGCUAAAAUAUAGACGUUCACAAAGUAUGUGAAGAAUUAAUUUGGUGCCUGGAGAGGGGAGAAUUUACUCAAUACAUGCUCAUUACUCUAUAUAAAGACUGAUACAAACAUAAAUGUUUUUAGGCAAAAUUCUAGUUCCACUAUUGUUAUGAUUCGAAGGACAUCGAUGUAUACUGACAUUUUUAUCGACCCUGCAAAAAUGCCAAAAGCUGUAUCACUGUAGAGAAUUAUAGAACAGAAUCAACACAACAGAGAUGCCAAUUAUGACUGGAAAUGCAGAGACCAAGUAUAAAGCUCCAUAUCCCUGCACGAAAAUGUCCCUCGUCAGAACCAGCUCCAAAUGAAGCGGUAAUGACAGCAACAUAUCUAACGAAGUUCCAUAAUUACGAUCGGAUUUUCUGAUUAAGUUUGAUCUCAACAAGCACCUGAUCUCGCUAAUCAAAGUACAUUGUCUAAAUUAAAACCUAAAGAAAAUCUUCAGAAAUCACUAUUUAAGAUGAUGCUUUUUUAAUACGAGCAAUAUAUUCUUCCAUGAAACUAAAUUUUUUCUGAGCUACCAGCUGAACUUGUUUUGAUAUAUAUAGCAUGUAGGUCGAGCUCUCAAAACUGCUUAUUUUGAAAAAAGUUUUUUUCGCCAGAAGUGUUUUUCGAAGAAGUACCUUCGAAAAGUAGCAUUUUGUUUUAGACUAAUAAAUUUGAAAAGAACAUUUGCGUACUAUAUAGCAGCAAUUUGUGCAUGGCUAAGGUUCCAAAAGUGCUUAAGGGUAAAGACUACUUUUUUCAGCUUCUGUUAUUACUCAAAAGCACUUUAUUCGCUUGGCCAAACCCUUAAUUCUCUAAAAUAAACUUUUUUAAAAAGUACUUCUGGCUUCCUAAAAGUUUGGUCACAGACUAUUAGUCAUGAUCUGACGCUUUUAACUUUUAAGAAAAAGUGAACCCGUUAGUUUUGCCAGAUAUUCAAACAAUAACAUGUAAAAUUGGUGCAGUUAACAUAUUCCAUGACAUUGUAAGCUAAUCACUGGAAAUGGUAUUUAGCCAGCCUAAUGAACAAUUAGAACAAGCAGCAUAACCAGAGAAAUAUCCAAGCAUCAUUUCGUCAACUAACCAGAGCUGGAGGAACAUCUGGCUCGUCACUAUCAGCUGCCUCCUCAAUCUCAGCUGCUGAAUCCCAGUCAAUCUUGAGCCUCUUAGCAGCCUCUAUUGGAUCAAUACCAGUGUCCGUGGCUUUUGCAUAGAGGGAUCUGCUCUUAUUUUGCUUUGUGGCUUCAGCCUAAAUCAAACAAGAAUACCGUAUAACUAUUAAGUGGCUGAAUGCUGAAUUUGGUGCCACUACAAAGACAUCGCAUGCCCGGGGAUGUAAAAUCAAUCAAUCAGUCUCAUUCAAUUUCAAGAAAUGAAAAAAAAAUGUUGAUCUUAUCUGUUAAAUGGAAUUGUCCAGAUCACAUAAAAGUUUAAUACACGAAAGGAUAAAAAAAGAGAACUGGUGUAUGAAAUUUCAACAAGAAGAAAUGAUUUCUGCUACUUUUCAGAAAAAUAGCAAAUGGUUUGGAAAAGAUAUAACACUAUCCUUAAAUCUAAACUUGAGGAGAAACUAUUCAACCAAUAAAUCAGUGUUAAAAUCCCAAUGCAAUUAUAGAUUUCAUUUAGAUCAUUGUAUCUGACUUUGAGAGUGAAAGAGUUAAAUUCAACAUCAUGGACUGGAUUGGUUAGAAUUAGCUUUUAGAUUGGCAUAUCCUGAUAAAGUUUCACUAACAUAUCUCCAAGCCUGUUCAGCUGACUUUAAUUAGGAAAAAACUCUACUCUACUAAUAAGUCAAAUUAUUGCGAAUUACGGCAGAGGAUUAGGGCCAGUUCGGGUCGCUAGUGUAGGGAAUAAAUUGGUGGGGGUGUAUUCCUGUUAUGAUUCCGUAUUCAAUGUUCCGUGUUCCGUGUUCCAUGUUUAUUACGAAUAUGUGUGCUUUCCUUUGCUGUAUAUUCCUGCAUUCCUUCUUUACUCUGUUUUAUAUUCCUUAUGGGUGCCGUAUCUAUGUUAUGUCAUCUGCUUCUGUGCUGUACUAUGUGUUGUGUGAUAUCUCGUGACUUGAGCCGGGGGUCUUUCGGAAACAGCCUUUCUACUUCAUCAGAGGUAGAGGUAUGGACUGCGUACAUCUUACCCCCCCCAGACCCCACUAAGUGGGAAUACACUGGGUUUGUUGUUGUUGUUGUUGUUGUUGGGAAGUAGGACACAUUUAAUGAAUUUGAUAGAAAAAUAAAAAUUCUGGUGUAGCCAUAGAUUGAAACUAUUUGUUGUUGACACUCAACUAAUAUUUGAGAGAAUUUAGCCAAGAAAUAUUCGCUUCUAGUUGAAAGACAUUGAUGGAUACUUGAUGUUCUAAGACUAAUUACAAAAUUCAUGAUAAGUUAUGAGUAAAUGGUUGAAUAGGGUAGAUCAUUGAUAGAAUUGAUUUUCCAUUAUUAUUUUCCUAAUUUUCCAUCAUUUGUGAAAGUCAUUGAUCAACUUGUUCAUAUUAAAAUUGGUUCUAUCCUUAUUUAAAAUGGAAAAAAACCCCAAAAUACACUUGUAUCCCUGAUCGAAUUAGAGUUACUUUUAUUCCUUACUUUCUCAAUCGCUAGUCACAUUAUUCCUCGUGGGAUCAACUCCAAUCUAUAAUUGAAUAAAUAUAUUACUAACGGCUGCAUACAUCUUUUGACAGGUGUAUUUGAGCAUUAUCAAUAUUUAUUUAAUUUUUUGAAAGAGUCAAGCUCAUAUAAAGAUACAGAAAUGAUAGGACAUUCGUAUCAUGUAUCUUUGCUUUUUUAACUUAUGUGAUAUUUCAUUAUAUACCUUUUACAGAGUUUUAAAUGAUUGUCAAAUUAAAUCUGAGGCACGUUUGAAAAUAUUCACCAUGUAUCGCCAUAUUCAAGAUAAUUGCAAUAGCGGCCUGAUCUAAUGCUUACGUUGGGCCUGGCUUAGCUAUCUAGUUACAAUAUCAGAAUGAAACACUGCUGGCAACGACAGAUACUAUACCAGUGCUCGUUAAAUGCACGCAACCCCAAAUUUUAACAUACUGUUAUCUAAAAACUGAGCAAACUUCGAGAAAACAGAAGCUGGCUCACAACUUUUACUUUUUGCGGGGUUUCUACAACAUCUUUACAUAUGUGAGGAAGAAGGAUUCAAAGAACUAAAGAAUUGACCCAUACAUGAUAGUGAAGUUAGCAAAUCAGAAAUGGUAACUGUGACCUAAUAUACAAGAAUGGGCUCUAUCACAUACUCUAAUUUACACACACCUAGGGCUUCCUUUAAACAUGUACAGAAGGGUGGUAAAGCUUAAUAUUAUCUCCGUCCCCUGCUGUAAAAUGGUAUUGGGGUAGAGAGAGUGAAAUAUCAAACUGGUGAAAAUCUCAAAAAUCCCUGUCUAUUUUGUUGAAGUAUCAACAGUUCUUUCAAUGUCAAGCAUAGGUUUUACUCUUCUCUCAACCUCAUUGCUCAGUAAAUUUAGCUC
This 4368-nucleotide long non-coding RNA is filed under the name Capsicum annuum. RNAcentral's name for it is "long non-coding RNA (CANN_LNC021755)". Lineage: Eukaryota; Viridiplantae; Streptophyta; Magnoliopsida; Solanales; Solanaceae. The record is from RNAcentral.